Molecule: unclassified non-coding RNA, 337 nt
Filed under: soil metagenome
Description: partial contains 5.8S ribosomal RNA, internal transcribed spacer 2, and large subunit ribosomal RNA
Rfam family: 5.8S ribosomal RNA (bases 1-120)
Source: RNAcentral
GAUGAAGAACGCAGCGAAAUGCGAUAAGUAGUGUGAAUUGCAGAAUUCAGUGAAUCAUCGAAUCUUUGAACGCACAUUGCGCCCCUUGGUAUUCCAUGGGGCAUGCCUGUUCGAGCGUCAUUUGUACCUUCAAGCCUUGUUUGGUGUUGGGUGUUUGUCUCGCCUCUGCGCGCAGACUCGCCUCAAAACAAUUGGCAGCCGGCGUAUUGAUUUCGGAGCGCAGUACAUCUCGCGCUUUGCACUCAGAACGACGACGUCCAAAAGUACAUUUUUACACUCUUGACCUCGGAUCAGGUAGGGAUACCCGCUGAACUUAAGCAUAUCAAUAAGCGGAGGA